This 203-nucleotide ribosomal RNA is filed under the name Ascosacculus sp. RNAcentral describes it as "partial large subunit ribosomal RNA". The record is from RNAcentral. Lineage: Eukaryota; Fungi; Ascomycota; Sordariomycetes; Microascales; Halosphaeriaceae.
AAGCGCUUGUGACCAGACUUGGGCCUGGCAGUUCAGCCGUCCUUCUGGGCGGUGCACUCUGCCGGUUCAGGCCAGCAUCAGUUGUCGGUCGGGGAGAAAGGUAGCGGGAAUGUGGCUCUUCGGAGUGUUAUAGCCCGUUGCUAUGCCCUUCCGGCGACUGAGGAUAGCGCUUUUGCACGGAUGCUGGCGUAAUGGUCAUCAGC